CGACUUCACCAAACGGCCGCGCGGUAUGUUGCCGAAAGGUAUUACCGUGAGGAAAGUCCGGGCUUCAUAGGGCAGGAUAGCUGAUAACGUCAGCCGCAGGCGACUGCCGGGAAAGUGCAACAGAAAUAAACCGCCCCAUCUUUGGGGUAAGGAUGGAAAGGCGAGGUAAGAGCUCACCCACUCCUAUGGUAACAUAGGUUUGCUGUAAACCCUAUCCGAAGCAACACCGCACGGGGACGUUGGCCCGACGUUGUCCCCUUGGUGGCACGGGAGUGAUCCCGAAGGUUUGCGGUGACGCAAAUCGCAGAUAGAUGGCCGUUCACGACAGAACCCGGCUUAUCGGUGGAGUCCUUUA
Molecule: RNase P RNA, 355 nt
Filed under: Oscillospiraceae bacterium
Lineage: Bacteria; Bacillati; Bacillota; Clostridia; Eubacteriales; Oscillospiraceae
Description: RNase P RNA component class A
Rfam family: Bacterial RNase P class A
About the family: Ribonuclease P (RNase P) is a ubiquitous endoribonuclease, found in archaea, bacteria and eukarya as well as chloroplasts and mitochondria. Its best characterised activity is the generation of mature 5'-ends of tRNAs by cleaving the 5'-leader elements of precursor-tRNAs. Cellular RNase Ps are ribonucleoproteins.
Source: RNAcentral